Long non-coding RNA from Vigna angularis (adzuki bean), 863 nucleotides. RefSeq lists it as uncharacterized. Lineage: Eukaryota; Viridiplantae; Streptophyta; Magnoliopsida; Fabales; Fabaceae. The record is from RefSeq and is a predicted model, not a curated record. The transcript is spliced from 2 exons.
CACCACUCUUCCUCGGGUACCUUCUUAUUGGCACAUCAUCCACUAGGAAUCUGACACGCAUUUCGAUGUCAGUGAAAGCAAUGUUAACCAGAAGGUUCGAAGCUCUUUUCGAAUUGAUCUUGUGGAUCAGUGCCCCAUGAAUCCAACUACAAUUUAAGUAUGAGGUGUUGAAGUACAUGAACUUGAGGCAUGCAUGGUUCCCUUGAAACAAACCACAAAAUCACAAAACACGGAGGUACUAUUAUUGAAACACAAGUCUUGUUAUACACACGGCUUCAAGAAUUGGUAGAAAUAAUAAUAACCCCACAAAAUAGAUUUGAAAGUAACAGCAGGUAGUGCAGCCUGAUCAAGCGAGCAAAUAAUUAAUGUGCUGCUUAAUGGGGACUUGUGCACCCUCAUUUUUCAAUUACAACUUGCAAGAGAGCUUCUUUCUUGAUCUCUAUGUGUAGACAAAUUUUACAAGAUUGGGGCAAGCACUGUUUUGUCGGUCACACACGGAGGAAGAGAAAUGGAGGAAGGUUGGAAGAUGGUGGCCGGUAGGGUCACUUUGGCCGACAAGUCAAAAACUUCAAUACUUCACUUCUUGUAAAAACUCUGCAAAAGUCAAAUUAACCUUCUAUUUCUAUGCAUUCUUCUUGCAUCACACAUGUUAGAGUCUGAAUAAUUUGUGUUUGUCAUGUUUUCGGAUUAGUAGGUUCAAUGUGGAUGCUUUUGCUUUAAUCACAUUUUUCAUCCAACAAAAGCCUAUAUCAUAGCCUUUUUCACACUCACUGAGCCUUUGCUUUUGAAUAUGCCUGUCAGCUACUAAUAUUCAUUUUGUUACAAACACCGAAUGAUGAAUGUAUAUGAAUUAUGUUUUCCUA